This 391-nucleotide unclassified non-coding RNA is filed under the name soil metagenome. Its description in RNAcentral is "partial contains 5.8S ribosomal RNA, internal transcribed spacer 2, and large subunit ribosomal RNA". The stretch from base 1 to 122 matches the Rfam family "5.8S ribosomal RNA", at positions 35 to 154 of the family's 154-position model. The record is from RNAcentral.
GAUGAAGAACGUAGCGAAAUGCGAUACUUGGUGUGAAUUGCAGAAUCCCGUGAACCAUCGAGUCUUUGAACGCAAGUUGCGCCCGAAGCCGUUAGGCCGAGGGCACGCCUGCCUGGGCGUCACACGUCGUUGCCCCCCCAUCUACUCCUUCGGGAUUGCGAGGGGCGGAUGAUGGCCUCCCGUGCGCCUCGUCGCGCGGUUGGCAUAAAUGCCAAGUCCUCGGCGACGCACGCCACGACAAUCGGUGGUUGCGAAACCUCGGUUGCCCGUCGUGUGCGGUCGUCGCGCAUCGAGGGCUCGAAAAAAUUGCCGGGCUCCGGCUCGGCUUUCAACGCGACCCCAGGUCAGGCGGGGUUACCCGCUGAAUUUAAGCAUAUCAAUAAGCGGAGGA